This is a long non-coding RNA of Neopsephotus bourkii (Bourke's parrot), 453 nucleotides long. RefSeq lists it as uncharacterized. Lineage: Eukaryota; Metazoa; Chordata; Aves; Psittaciformes; Psittacidae. The transcript is spliced from 3 exons. The record is from RefSeq and is a predicted model, not a curated record.
GAAAGCAGGGGCAUGGAGGCCCUGCCCGUGCGGGAUUCCCCUUCACCAUUGCACUGGUUUAGCAUGGAUUGGGGCAAUCCAGAAGCUGUUCUGGAGGCCCCAACGUCUUCCCAGCCAAGCCUGGGGUCACUGGCAUGUAAAAGGAUCCCAGCUCCAGAGGUUCAGGGAAGUGGGCAGGGCGUACAGAUUCCACAUCUCUGAGGGGGGUUUGCUUUCUUCAGAAGUCUCAGGGACCAGUUCUGAACCUGAUUCGAAUGCUGCAAGUGCUGGCAGCCCCAAAGCCCAGGGGUCUCUUCAUCAUUAUGUGAGACCACCAUGACUGUAUGUAAGCAAAUGCAAAUGUCUCCUUCACAGGUGUGGCUGGACUAUAUCUGCCCUAAGUAAGCUUGCUUCAAAACGAGAGGCUUCACUGUCUUCUACCCUGCUAUCUCCGCAUGUAGCAAGGGAUUUCUG